CCAAGUCAAAAAUUCCAUUCAUAUUCAUUCAAGAGAAUUACAUGUUACGCAAAGUCCCCAAAUCCCAUUAGAAGUGUGAAGCUAUUUUAUUUGGAAUUAUCACUACAAAUUUACAAGAGGGAUUACAAGUUUGCACAGAAAAAUCAAAACUAUAAUUCUAAUGUCCUAAAGCUUCAUGCUUCAAACAUGUUGUCCAUUUUCCAGCCAUGUUUCAACAUAAUAACAGUCCCAUUUUUGUGGUACUUUUGCAGUCCAAAUAGCAACUUCAGAUCAUUACAAAUAGUAACCUACAGAUCAGUCCAAAUUCUGCAAACAAAACUACUAUAA
Vicia faba (fava bean) is the source of this 327-nucleotide non-coding RNA. NCBI's taxonomy places the organism in Eukaryota, Viridiplantae, Streptophyta, Magnoliopsida, Fabales, Fabaceae. The record is from the annotation of a GenBank genome assembly.